AGAGAGAGACAUGCGCGCAUAUCAAUAAGCGGAGGAAAAGAAACUAACAAGGAUUCCCUUAGUAACGGCGAGUGAAGCGGGAAGAGCUCAAAUUUGAAAUCUUCAAGGUUUUACCUUGACGAAUUGUAGUUUAAAGAAGUGUUUUCUGCUGAAGUUUUGGUAAAAGUUCUUUGGAAUAGGACAUCAUAGAGGGUGAGGAUCCCGUAUUUGACCAUUAUUUUCAGCUUUGUGAUACACUUUCAAAGAGUCGGAUUGUUUGGGAAUGCAGUCCAAAAUGGGUGGUAAAUUUCAUCUAAAGCUAAAUAUUGGCGAAGAGACCGAUAGCGAACAAGUACCGUGAGGGAAAGAUGAAAAGAACUUUGAAAAGAGAGUUAAACAGUACGUGAAAUUGUCAAAAGGGAAGCGUUUGACACCAGUGUUGUUUUCCUCGAAAAUCAAUUAAAAAUGGCUCGAUUUUGUAUUGCUUGAGACCUUAAAAGCUCACUGUACAUUUUUCGUGUCUUUUUUAAUGCACUUUUUCGUUUAACAAGUCAACAUCAGUUUCUUUUGUUGUAAAAGGGUCAUUGGAAGGUGGCUUUCUUUUCGGGAGAAAGUGUUUAUAGCCUUUGGCCUCUGCAAUCGGAGAGACUGAGGUCUGCAGCGUAGACUCUUCGGGGUUAGAUACAUUUGUGCUAAGUUAUAGCUUUUUAUAGACAACUUGUUGACUAUAAUUAGUCUUGUAGCUUACUCGCUUAUGCUAUUUUACCUACGCUUAGGAUGUUGAAGAUGUAGCACAUCAU
This 779-nucleotide ribosomal RNA is filed under the name uncultured Neocallimastigales. RNAcentral describes it as "partial large subunit ribosomal RNA". It matches the Rfam family "Eukaryotic large subunit ribosomal RNA", at positions 23 to 612 of the family's 3401-position model. Lineage: Eukaryota; Fungi; Neocallimastigomycota; Neocallimastigomycetes; Neocallimastigales. The record is from RNAcentral.